Molecule: ribosomal RNA, 165 nt
Filed under: Lilium davidii
Lineage: Eukaryota; Viridiplantae; Streptophyta; Magnoliopsida; Liliales; Liliaceae
Description: 5.8S ribosomal RNA
Rfam family: 5.8S ribosomal RNA
About the family: 5.8S ribosomal RNA (5.8S rRNA) is a component of the large subunit of the eukaryotic ribosome. It is transcribed by RNA polymerase I as part of the 45S precursor that also contains 18S and 28S rRNA. Functionally, it is thought that 5.8S rRNA may be involved in ribosome translocation.
Source: RNAcentral
UAUACGACUCUCGGCAACGGAUAUCUCGGCUCUCGCAUCGAUGAAGAACGUAGCGAAAUGCGAUACUUGGUGUGAAUUGCAGAAUCCCGUGAACCAUCGAGUCUUUGAACGCAAGUUGCGCCCGAGGCCUUUUGGUUGAGGGCACGCCUGCCUGGGCGUCACGCC